RNAcentral lists this ribosomal RNA (265 nucleotides) under uncultured bacterium. RNAcentral's name for it is "partial 16S ribosomal RNA". It matches the Rfam family "Bacterial small subunit ribosomal RNA", at positions 335 to 598 of the family's 1533-position model. The record is from RNAcentral.
CACCUACGGGACGCAGCAGUGAGGAAUAUUGGUCAAUGGCCGGAAGGCUGGACCAGCCAAGCCGCGUGAGGGAGGAAGGCGCAGAGCGUCGCAGACCUCUUUUGCCGGGGGACAAAAGGCCGGACUCGUCCGGUCCUGAGGGUACCCGGAGAAAAAGCAUCGGCUAACUCCGUGCCAGCAGCCGCGGUAAUACGGAGGAUGCGAGCGUUAUCCGGAUUCAUUGGGUUUAAAGGGUGCGCAGGCGGGCCUUUAAGCCGGGGUGGAA